This 253-nucleotide ribosomal RNA is filed under the name uncultured bacterium. RNAcentral's name for it is "partial 16S ribosomal RNA". It matches the Rfam family "Bacterial small subunit ribosomal RNA", at positions 524 to 776 of the family's 1533-position model. The record is from RNAcentral.
UACGAAGGGGGCUAGCGUUGUUCGGAAUUACUGGGCGUAAAGCGUGCGCAGGCGGCUUCCCAAGUCAGUGGUGAAAGCCCGGAGCUCAACUCCGGAAAUGCCAUUGAAACUGUGAAGCUCGAGAACGAGAGAGGUGAGUGGAAUUCCCAGUGUAGAGGUGAAGUUCGUAGAUAUUGGGAAGAACACCAGUGGCGAAGGCGGCUCACUGGCUCGUAACUGACGCUCAUGCACGACAGCGUGGGGAUCAAACAGG